This 1027-nucleotide unclassified non-coding RNA is filed under the name Leishmania donovani. Its description in RNAcentral is "gene:LdHU3.31.1960(CDS-product:Cytochrome_b5-like _Heme/Steroid_binding_domain_containing_protein_putative)". Lineage: Eukaryota; Euglenozoa; Kinetoplastea; Trypanosomatida; Trypanosomatidae. The record is from RNAcentral.
AGACAGACACACGCGCACAUCUACAGUGCAAUCUGUCGGUGCGCACAUAAUCCCCGGCCGGCAGCGCCUAACUGUUUCGUGCACCGGUGCCUUUACAUGCCCACACGUCGAUCUUUAGUGUGACCGCCACUGAGACAGUAACGCAAUGCCAGAGAAUAUUCGCUACCGCUUCUUCUUCAAGGGCAAGAGCUACUUGAUUCCGAAGGACUACAUCGACAAUGAACACCCUGGUGGAAGCGAUGAAAUCAUGCCCUACGUCGACAAGGACAUGACGGACGCAUUUGAGGACGCUGAUCACUCGCUGAAUGCCGUGGACAUGCUCGAGGAGUGGUUGGAUGAGGAGUAUGACCUUGGCAUCCAGCCUGACCCGACCGCGGUGGCUUCCCCGGCGCAGGAGGGGGCAAAGACGGCGGGGCCAGCCACGGAGGCGUCACCACCAGCGGCUGCAGCUACCCCCGCAGUGCGUAUAGCAACACCAACAGUCUCGACGGCACCAGCGGCUACCGCACCAACAACCGCUAGCGAGCCCUCGAAGUCGAAGCUGUUCGUGCCUGUCGCGGCCACUGCUGCCGCAGUGGCUGUUUUGAUGGCAUCUGCUACGCUUGUGUACGUUCGAGUCCCCAAGAGGAGGUGAUGCUACUCGAGUUCGGCGGCACACUAUCCCUGAUGGACGAUAUUCACAUGAGCGCAUCGCAUUCCCGGGCCUCUGUAUCCGGGAUGGCAGCUAUUGUGGUCCUCUUUCCCAUUGCCGUUUGGCGUCCACUCCGGGGCGAGAUUUUGCGCCCGCUUCGUCGCGUUUCUCUCGUUCCCCGGCACACCCCCUAAGCGUUUGCUUGUCAACACAUGUCGCAUAAGUGUGCUUCCGGCACCCGCACGGCUCGUCGUAUUGCUGUCUUGCCACCACCCUCCCCCACCUUGUGCUCACGGCGCUGCCUUGCAGGAAGCGGACGUAAAAAAAGAGGUUACCACACUUGCAUCGGUAUGUAUAUUUCUUUGCCGUUGUUGGCUUUCCUGUAGGCCCUCCACG